RNAcentral lists this ribosomal RNA (490 nucleotides) under uncultured bacterium. RNAcentral describes it as "partial 16S ribosomal RNA". It matches the Rfam family "Bacterial small subunit ribosomal RNA", at positions 30 to 507 of the family's 1533-position model. The record is from RNAcentral.
AUUGAACGCUGGCGGCAGGCCUAACACAUGCAAGUCGAACGGUAACAGGAAGCAGCUUGCUGCUUCGCUGACGAGUGGCGGACGGUUGAGUAAUGUCUGGGAAACUGCCUGAUGGAGGGGGAUAACUACUGGAAACGGUAGCUAAUACCGCAUAACGUCGCAAGACCAAAGAGGGGGACCUUAGGGCCUCUUGCCAUCGGAUGUGCCCAGAUGGGAUUAGCUAGUAGGUGGGGUAACGGCUCACCUAGGCGACGAUCCCUAGCUGGUCUGAGAGGAUGACCAGCCACACUGGAACUGAGACACGGUCCAGACUCCUACGGGAGGCAGCAGUGGGGAAUAUUGCACAAUGGGCGCAAGCCUGAUGCAGCCAUGCCGCGUGUAUGAAGAAGGCCUUCGGGUUGUAAAGUACUUUCAGCGGGGAGGAAGGGAGUAAAGUUAAUACCUUUGCUCAUUGACGUUACCCGCAGAAGAAGCACCGGCUAACUCCGUG